RNAcentral lists this ribosomal RNA (591 nucleotides) under Senobasis corsair. Its description in RNAcentral is "partial 16S ribosomal RNA". It matches the Rfam family "Bacterial large subunit ribosomal RNA", at positions 1796 to 2648 of the family's 2925-position model. The record is from RNAcentral. Lineage: Eukaryota; Metazoa; Arthropoda; Insecta; Diptera; Asilidae.
UCGCCUGUUUAUCAAAAACAUGUCCUAUUGAGGGUAAUUUUAGGUCUAACCUGCCAGUUGAAUAGUUUUUAAAAGGCCGCAGUAUUCUAACUGUGCAAAGGUAGCAUAAUCAUUAGUUUUUUAAUUAAAGGCUUGUAUGAAUGGUUGGACGAGGUAAUAACUGUCUUAUAUAUAUGAUAUAAAAAUUUACUUUUUGGUAAAAAUGCCAAAAUUUUUUUAAAAGACGAGAAGACCCUAUAGAUCUUUAUAAUUUAUUAUUGUUAUUUUUUUUAUAGAAUAAAUUUAUAUAAGUAUAAUAAUAUUUAAUAUUUUGUUGGGGUGACAUUAAUAUUUAAUUAACUUUUAAGGUUUGUUAUUACAUUGAUUUAUGAAUAGAUUAUGAUCCUUUAAAUAAAGAUUAAUAAAUUAAGUUACCUUAGGGAUAACAGCGUAAUUUUUUUGAGGAGUUCAUAUCUAUAAAAAAGAUUGCGACCUCGAUGUUGGAUUAAGAUAUACUAGUGGGUGCAGAAGUUCACAUUUGGAAGUCUGCUCGACUUUUAAUUUCUUACAUGAUCUGAGUUCAAACCGGAGAAUCUGAGUUCAAACCGGAGA